GUCACGUAAAGUACAUAUGUAGGUAAAAAGUCAAAUUCUGUAAAAAAAGAUUGUAUAUGCUCAUGUUUGUCAAACGUGAAAAUGCUAUAAUUAAUUUUUAACUUACGUUUUAAUGAUUAAAUAUGAAUAAAUCAAAUCUGCUAAUAAGUAAAUAUGGAUAACUUAAAUCAACUAAAAAAUAUAUGAAAUAUUAGUGAAAAAUAACUGACACCAAGAGAGGAGCACCAAAACC
Molecule: long non-coding RNA, 232 nt
Filed under: Elaeis guineensis (African oil palm)
Lineage: Eukaryota; Viridiplantae; Streptophyta; Magnoliopsida; Arecales; Arecaceae
Description: long non-coding RNA (EGUI_LNC002820)
Source: RNAcentral